This 73-nucleotide transfer RNA is filed under the name Stegodyphus mimosarum. It matches the Rfam family "tRNA". Rfam says of the family: Transfer RNA (tRNA) molecules are approximately 80 nucleotides in length. Their secondary structure includes four short double-helical elements and three loops (D, anti-codon, and T loops). Lineage: Eukaryota; Metazoa; Arthropoda; Arachnida; Araneae; Eresidae. The record is from Rfam by way of RNAcentral.
GCCUUCGUGGUGUAGUGGUCAGCGCGCUCGACGCAUUACCAAUAGGUCCGUGGUUCGAUUCCCGGCGAAGGCG